GACGAACGCUGGCGGCGUGCUUAACACAUGCAAGUCGAACGGAAAGGCCCUGCUUUUGUGGGGUGCUCGAGUGGCGAACGGGUGAGUAACACGUGAGUAACCUGCCCUUGACUUUGGGAUAACUUCAGGAAACUGGGGCUAAUACCGGAUAGGAGCUCCUGCUGCAUGGUGGGGGUUGGAAAGUUUCGGCGGUUGGGGGUGGACUCGCGGCUUAUCAGCUUGUUGGUGGGGUAGUGGCUUACCAAGGCUUUGACGGGUAGCCGGCCUGAGAGGGUGACCGGCCACAUUGGAACUGGGAUAAGGCCCAGACUCCAACGGGAGGCAGCAGUGGGGAAUAGUGCACAAUGGGCGGAAGCCUGAUGCAGUAACGCCGCGUGCGGGAAGACGGCCUUCGGGUUGUAAACCGCAUUCGCCUGUGACGAAGCGUGAGUGACGGUAAUGGGUAAAGAAGCACCGGCUAACUACGUG
Molecule: ribosomal RNA, 468 nt
Filed under: uncultured bacterium
Lineage: Bacteria
Description: partial 16S ribosomal RNA
Rfam family: Bacterial small subunit ribosomal RNA
Source: RNAcentral